Molecule: unclassified non-coding RNA, 241 nt
Filed under: Glomus sp.
Lineage: Eukaryota; Fungi; Glomeromycota; Glomeromycetes; Glomerales; Glomeraceae
Description: partial contains 5.8S ribosomal RNA and internal transcribed spacer 2
Rfam family: 5.8S ribosomal RNA (bases 1-65)
Source: RNAcentral
GUGAAUCAUCAAAUUUUUGAACGCAAAUAGCACUCUCUUCGGAGAGUAUGCCUGUUUGAGGGUCAGCCUAAAAAAAUCGACAGAGGUGCUGUUUCGCGGUGACAUUCGUCGGAAAUUGGGUCAUCUUAAACCUUUGGGCUUUAAGCGGCUUAAAAUUUUCUUUACGAUGCCACGAACGUUUCUAAGAUUUUACUUCUUACACGUGUAAGGUAUCGAUCUUUAUUAGACGUGGCAGGUUGAU